AAUCAACGCUGGCGGCGUGCCUCAGACAUGCAAGUCGAACGAUUAAAGCUCUCUUCGGAGAGUGUAUAGAGUGGCGCACGGGUGAGUAACACGUAAGUAAUCUACCUUCGAGUGGGGAAUAACACCGAGAAAUCGGUGCUAAUACCGCAUAAUGCAGCGGCAUCGCAAGAUGACAGUUGUUAAAGAUUUAUCGCUUGAAGAGGAGCUUGCGGCAGAUUAGCUAGUUGGUAAGGUAAUGGUUUACCAAGGCUACGAUCUGUAACCGGUCUAAGAGGACGGUCGGUCACACUGACACUGAAUAACGGGUCAGACUCCUACGGGAGGCAGCAGUCGGGAAUUUUGGGCAAUGGGCGAAAGCCUGACCCAGCAACGCCGCGUGAAGGAUGAAGUAUUUCGGUAUGUAAACUUCGAAAGAAUAGAAGAAUAAAUGACGGUACUAUUUAUAAGGUCCGGCUAACUACGU
Molecule: ribosomal RNA, 463 nt
Filed under: uncultured bacterium
Lineage: Bacteria
Description: bacterial SSU rRNA
Rfam family: Bacterial small subunit ribosomal RNA
Source: RNAcentral